RNAcentral lists this ribosomal RNA (279 nucleotides) under uncultured bacterium. Its description in RNAcentral is "partial 16S ribosomal RNA". It matches the Rfam family "Bacterial small subunit ribosomal RNA", at positions 506 to 784 of the family's 1533-position model. The record is from RNAcentral.
UGCCAGCCGCCGCGGUAAUACGGAGGGUGCAAGCGUUGUUCGGAAUUAUUGGGCGUAAAGCGCGUGUAGGCGGUUCGUUAAGUCUGAUGUGAAAGCCCGGGGCUCAACCCCGGAAGUGCUUGUAAUACUGGUCGUCUAGAGAGAGGCAGAGGUCAGCAGAAUUCCUGGUGUAGAGGUGAAAUUCGUAGAUAUCAGGAGGAAUACCAGUGGCGAAGGCGGCUGGCUGGGCCUAUUCUGACGCUGAGGCGCGAAAGCAUGGGGAGCAAACGGGAUUAGAUA